GGCAGCGCGGACAUGCGGAUUAUUCGAUGCAACGCGAAGAACCUUACCAAGGCUUGACAUGAACCGGAAAGACCUGGAAACAGGUGCCCCGCUUGCGGCCGGUUUACAGGUGGUGCAUGGUUGUCGUCAGCUCGUGUCGUGAGAUGUUGGGUUAAGUCCCGCAACGAGCGCAACCCUCGUUCUAUGUUGCCAGCGCGUGAUGGCGGGGACUCAUAGGAGACUGCCGGGGUCAACUCGGAGGAAGGUGGGGACGACGUCAAAUCAUCAUGCCCCUUAUGUCUUGGGCUUCACGCAUGCUACAAUGGCCGGUACAAAGGGUUGCGAUACUGUGAGGUGGAGCUAAUCCCAAAAAGCCGGUCUCAGUUCGGAUUGGGGUCUGCAACUCGACCCCAUGAAGUCGGAGUCGCUAGUAAUCGCAGAUCAGCAACGCUGCGGUGAAUACGUUCCCGGGCCUUGUACACACCGCCCGUCAAGUCACGAAAGUUGGUAACACCCGAAGCCGGUGGCCUAACCCCUUGUGGGAGGGAGCUGUCGAAGGUGGGACUGGCGAUUGGGACUAAGUCGUAACAG
RNAcentral lists this ribosomal RNA (570 nucleotides) under Arthrobacter sp. CDR1P2B3. RNAcentral describes it as "bacterial SSU rRNA". It matches the Rfam family "Bacterial small subunit ribosomal RNA", at positions 928 to 1494 of the family's 1533-position model. Lineage: Bacteria; Bacillati; Actinomycetota; Actinomycetes; Micrococcales; Micrococcaceae. The record is from RNAcentral.